GGAGGAAAAGAAACCAACAGGGAUUGCCUUAGUAGCGGCGAGUGAAGCGGCAAAAGCUCAAAUUUGAAAUCUGGCACCUUCGGUGUCCGAGUUGUAAUUUGAAGAUUGUAACCUUGGGGUUGGCUCUUGUCUAUGUUUCUUGGAACAGGACGUCACAGAGGGUGAGAAUCCCGUGCGAUGAGAUGCCCAAUCCUAUGUAAGGUGCUUUCGAAGAGUCGAGUUGUUUGGGAAUGCAGCUCUAAGUGGGUGGUAAAUUCCAUCUAAAGCUAAAUAUUGGCGAGAGACCGAUAGCGAACAAGUACAGUGAUGGAAAGAUGAAAAGAACUUUGAAAAGAGAGUGAAAAAGUACGUGAAAUUGUUGAAAGGGAAGGGUUUGAGAUCAGACUCGAUAUUUUGUGAGCCUUGCCUUCGUGGCGGGGUGACCCGCAGCUUAUCGGGCCAGCAUCGGUUUGGGCGGUAGGAUAAUGGCGUAGGAAUGUGACUUUGCUUCGGUGAAGUGUUAUAGCCUGCGUUGAUGCUGCCUGCCUAGACCGAGGACUGCGAUUUUAUCAAGGAUGCUGGCAUAAUGAUCCUAAACCCCCGUCGUUGA
RNAcentral lists this ribosomal RNA (589 nucleotides) under Meyerozyma caribbica. Its description in RNAcentral is "eukaryotic LSU rRNA". It matches the Rfam family "Eukaryotic large subunit ribosomal RNA", at positions 52 to 657 of the family's 3401-position model. The record is from RNAcentral. Lineage: Eukaryota; Fungi; Ascomycota; Pichiomycetes; Serinales; Debaryomycetaceae.